RNAcentral lists this long non-coding RNA (1038 nucleotides) under Junco hyemalis (dark-eyed junco). Its description in RNAcentral is "lncRNA (ENSJHYG00000008064.1)". Lineage: Eukaryota; Metazoa; Chordata; Aves; Passeriformes; Passerellidae. The record is from RNAcentral.
AUGCCACAUGUGAGGGGAUGUCCAGGCAGCUCCUACCCUGCUAGGACUCUCCUCCCCCUGCCAUCACUUUUUUCCUUUCCCAGGAGCCCCCCAGGCCAGCACUGGGGCCUGGCAGAGCCACAGCCCAUGUGCCCCCCGGACACCCCCUCACCUCCUUUGUGGCCCUGGAGGACCCUCCUCCUGCUCAGGAGCCCCCAGCACAGGGCAGGGCUCCCCAAAGGUGAGCCAGGAACAGGCAAUGACCCCACUGGACUGCCCUGCCACCCCCUCCAGCAGCAAACUGGGGCACCAGUAACUGUUAGGGUGAUGAAGGCAAAAGCUGUGUUCCAGCUGCAGAGAUGGGUUCAGGGACCAGUUGUGCAGCUGGUACCAGGAUCCCACAGUGCUGGGGUGGGUGGAAGUAUAUGGGAUCACUGCUGGAACCAAAGAGGCUCUGGGCAUUUCAGCAGGAAAAGAACAGGCCAACCCCCAAGCCAGCAGCAAACUGACAGCUCAGCCUCCACCCCAGGACAGAGCCCACAGCCAAAGGAGUGGUUCAACCACUCACGCCCACAGUGGUGGUUUGGGGACAGGCAGAGGGCACAGAGGAGUAAAAUAAAUUCCCUGUCCUCAGGCACAUCCCCACAUCCAGCCCUCUGUAGGGAAAGCCUAACCCAGGGCAUGCACAGCUCAGCCCUAGGAACCAGCACAGAAGCCACAGCCAGCUUUACAAAGUGUCAGAGGCCCUGUGCUACAUGUUUAAUAAAAGGCUUCAGCUCUUUGCUUUUCACUUCUUGGCCUUUUUUAUACACACAACCCAGGGCAGGGUCCCAGCCCCACCUGGGCACUCCAGCUGGCUCAGGGGACAGCCCUGCUGCCCCUGUCCCCAACCAUCAGCACCUGCUCUUGCACUCCCUCCUGGGUGCAAAGUGGAGGCUGAGCAAAGAUAAAAAUACACAGCAACAAAGGCCAGGAUGUUACAAAGCUCUUUCUUUAUCAGCCUCCCCCACCAUCUUUAGGCUGCUCAAAGCUGAGGAGGCACUAUCAGAACCCACUUAG